RNAcentral lists this ribosomal RNA (434 nucleotides) under uncultured bacterium. RNAcentral's name for it is "partial 16S ribosomal RNA". It matches the Rfam family "Bacterial small subunit ribosomal RNA", at positions 29 to 507 of the family's 1533-position model. The record is from RNAcentral.
AGCGAACGCUGGCGGCAGGCCUAACACAUGCAAGUCGAACGAACCUUUCGGGGUUUGUGGCGGACGGGUGAGUAACACGUGGGAACGUGCCUUUAGGUUCGGAAUAACUCAGGGAAACUUGUGCUAAUACCGAAUGUGCCCUUCUGGGGAAAGAUUUAUCGCCUCUAGAGCGGCCCACGUCUGAUUAGCUAGUUGGUUGAGGUAAUGGCUCACCAAGGCGACGUUCAGUAGCUGGUCUGAGAGGAUGAUCAGCCACAUUGGGACUGUGACACGGCCCGAACUCCUACGGGAGGCAGCAGUGGGGAAUCUUGCGCAAUGGGCGAAAGCCUGACGCAGCCAUGCCGCGUGAAUGAUGAAGGUCUUAGGAUUGUAAAAUUCUUUCACCGGGGACGAUAAUGACGGUACCCGGAGAAGAAGCCCCGGCUAACUUCGUG